GUACUGCACUCGUAACAGACAGGAUGCUCACACAUGCCAAUGCUGUAGAUGUCAACAUUCUUAUAACACACCACGCAGGAUUCCUAAAACAGAAUACAACGAUGAAAAUGAUGCGCUCACG
Molecule: long non-coding RNA, 121 nt
Organism: Pogonomyrmex barbatus (red harvester ant)
Lineage: Eukaryota; Metazoa; Arthropoda; Insecta; Hymenoptera; Formicidae
Source: RefSeq, a predicted model, not a curated record